This 253-nucleotide ribosomal RNA is filed under the name uncultured bacterium. RNAcentral's name for it is "partial 16S ribosomal RNA". It matches the Rfam family "Bacterial small subunit ribosomal RNA", at positions 524 to 776 of the family's 1533-position model. The record is from RNAcentral.
UACGUAGGUGGCAAGCGUUGUCCGGAAUUAUUGGGCGUAAAGCGCGCGCAGGUGGUUCCUUAAGUCUGAUGUGAAAGCCCACGGCUCAACCGUGGAGGGUCAUUGGAAACUGGGGAACUUGAGUGCAGGAGAGAAGAGUGGAAUUCCACGUGUAGCGGUGAAAUGCGUAGAGAUGUGGAGGAACACCAGUGGCGAAGGCGCCUCUUUGGUCUGUAACUGACGCUGAGGCGCGAAAGCGUGGGGAGCAAACAGG